Molecule: ribosomal RNA, 252 nt
Filed under: uncultured bacterium
Lineage: Bacteria
Description: partial 16S ribosomal RNA
Rfam family: Bacterial small subunit ribosomal RNA
Source: RNAcentral
UACAGAGGGUGCGAGCGUUAAUCGGAUUUACUGGGCGUAAAGGGCGCGUAGGCGGUCAAAUGAGUGUGAUGUGAAAGCCCCGGGCUUAACCGGGAAGUGCAUCGCAAACGAUUUGACUGGAGUAGAUGAGAGGGUGGUGGAAUUUCCGGUGUAGCGGUGAAAUGCGUAGAGAUCGGAAGGAACGUCAAUGGCGAAGGCAGCCACCUGGCAUCAUACUGACGCUGAGGCGCGAAAGCGUGGGGAGCGAACAGG